UCUAUGAGAACAAAGGGGAUGGAUUUCAGAAACGUUUCUAAAUCAUAAAUGACUGAACCAGAAGAACUGAAGCUGAUGUCAGAUUUCUCGCUUGGGUGAUGAGGAACAAGGCAGGAAGAGCAGCAAUGAGGAUAGAGGUGGAAGGGCAGCUCAGGAAUUUCCCUGGAGUUUUCCCAUCUUGAGACUUCGGUCUUGGAAGACAGAAUGGCUGUGACAUAAUGUGGACUUUUUACUUCCACCUCUAGGAAAGCGUUCUUUGGAACACCUUUGCUGAGUCUCUCUCUCCUCCGCUCAAGGAGGAAGAAGGCAUUUUCACACAAGGCUGGCCAGAUGGGAAGAAUCUUCAGCUUCAGCUUCAGCUUGGCCUCAUUCAUUUGAAAAUAAAAUGUUUACAUGAGGCCGCGCCUGUGUCCAGCUGAAAGUGGGUCCUUCAGAGCGUGUGGGGGAUUCUCUGCCGGCUUGAUGGGCUAGCUCCUCUAAGCCGGCUGCUGGAGACAUCACCGGCUGAGGGACUCCUGCAAACGUUCAUACAUGAUUUGAUCCUGAAAGGAGGGAGAACACAGAAUACAGAGACCGUCACUGCUUGUUUUGGGCUGAAUGGUGCCCCCCAAAAUUCACAUGCUGCAGUCCGCACCCGCAGGACCUCAGAAUGUGAUUGUAACUGGAGAGAGGGUCUUUAUAGAGGAGACUGGAUUAAAAUGAGGUCAUACAGGUAGACUCUUAUCCAAUAUGACUGCUCUCCUUACAAAAAGAGGGGAUUAGGGCACAGGAGGGAAGAGCAUGUGCGCAGAGGGAAAAGCACAUGCAGGCGCUGGGAGAAGACAGCCAUCAGUGAGGACAAAGGCUCCAGAAGAACCAAUCCUGCCCAACACUCUCCAGAACUGGUAUUGCUCUGUCGCCCAGGCAGGAGUGAGUGGAACAACCACAACAGACUUGACCUCCUCGGCACAAGAGAUCCUUCUACCUCAGCCUCCCGAGGAGCUGGAACUACAUGCCACCAUGC
Molecule: long non-coding RNA, 1003 nt
Filed under: Homo sapiens (human)
Lineage: Eukaryota; Metazoa; Chordata; Mammalia; Primates; Hominidae
Description: HSALNT0298594
Source: RNAcentral